UUUUAAUGAAACCAUUUCUAGAUAUCUAUAUCUUGUGUGUUUUAGAUCUUAGUAUUGAAAGCAGUGGAGAUAGUGAUAUUUCAAAAGAGUCUUUGAAGUAAAGAAAAAGCGAUCGUCGUGUCGUGAUGAAGAAUCUAAUGAUUCCUUGUCCUCAUCUCCGAAAAUAAAGAAAAUAUUGAUCUCUAAAUGUAAACCAGUGAAACUAAACCAAAUGAUAAAGAACUCCAGUAUAUCACAUGAAAAUUUCCAUUCAUUUCCAGAAUUUUGAUCAUUGCUUUCUCAGUAAAAUUCUGACAAUAUUUUUUUAGAUGUGAUACUAAAUCCAAUUUAUAAGUAUUGUCCUACAUGUGGCUGUGCAUAUUGUCAGAAAUGUUUUUACCUAUAAUUCUUAAUUCAUUGUUAAUAAUUAAUUUAACUUUUCACUUUAUUAAGAAAAUGACAUUAUGGAAGCUUUAUGUUUAAACCACACCAGUGUCGAAAUGGAAUUUAUUAUAACAUUUAUUCAUUUAUAACAUUAAAAAAAAAUGACAAUAAUAAUGAAAUAAUAAUUAACGAUUUAUUCAUUUAAAAUGAAUAGUGGUUUUUCUUUACUAAUAAGAAAAUUUAUGUUUUCAUGACUAAAGCUUAUGGUCAUGCAUCGAAAGCUAAUCUGGAAUCUGCUAGGAGAAGUAUCGAAUAUCAUAUUAGAGAGGAAGCGAAAAUCACAAGAACAUUGUUUAGUCUUCACAAUUACACAGUUGAUAUUCAAAAAAUAAUGACCGAACAGACAGUUAACGAAUUACCAUUUAACCAUGUAGAAAGCUUCCUUGAUUUUGAUAAUAAAUUGAAGACUAAUUUAGUAAUGAUGCAAAAACUGAAAUGCUUUAUCAUGUUAAAUGUGAAAAGUACAUUAAACUUUCGGAAAAUUUUUCUUUUUUAAUUCCUAAGAUUAUUUUACCAAAUAUUCAAGUGCUAUUCAGUGCUUUUGGGCGAGAAUCAAACGGUGUAAAAAAGUUAAAUUUCUCUGGUACAGAAACUUACAAAUAUUUGCUAGAAGUAGUUACAAUGAAAUUUCCUGACGAAAAUGAAAAAGAAAUUUCAAGUCAAAUAAGUCGCUGGUUUUCAGGUGCAAAGGAUAGAGAUGGUGGAAAGAGAUACCGAUUAUUAAAAUAAAAAAAGUCGUAAAGAGCGAAAGGAUAUCGAAAAUGAAGACGAAAUUCUAUAAUUUUAUCUGUUUA
This is a long non-coding RNA of Hydra vulgaris (swiftwater hydra), 1217 nucleotides long. RefSeq lists it as uncharacterized. Lineage: Eukaryota; Metazoa; Cnidaria; Hydrozoa; Anthoathecata; Hydridae. The record is from RefSeq and is a predicted model, not a curated record.